GCUGCGCCCUGGAGUCUAGCCUCAGACCUGGAGCUGACUUACCCUACAGGCACACACCCUCCCUCUCAGGGUGCCACCUGGGCAGGGCGGUGUUUCUGAACCGGCAGAGAAAUCAGAGUGGCCACCCCCGGGUCCAGGAGGCACGUCUGUGUGUAGCAUCCCACCCAGGAAGGCCCAGGCAAGCACACACUAGCGUCGAAGGUCCGUGCCCUCCGUGGGCCAGGCUUGCAGGUGAGCGCCCGCCAUGGGGAGGGGAGGGAGGGCUGCCCUGGAACCCAGCCAAGCAGGCUGAGAGCCACACCUGGGCGAGGCGGCCUGCGCAGAGCCGCCCGGCGUGGGCACUCGCGCUCUGAGGACGGCGGCCCGGCCCUGCCCUGGCCUGGCCUGGCCUGGCCUGUCCGCACCCUCAGCAGCAGGCCCGGGCCGGGCCGGGCGCGAUCGGGCGCGAGGACAGGCUGUCCCCGGCGGCGCACGCUCACCGUCGCACAGGAAGCCGGCCAGCCCCCAGAUGAAGUCGGAGCAGAGGUGGCAGAACGUGGGCUUGCACCCCUCUGCCUUCACCCUCUGAGCGCCAGGCUCCACCUGGAAGGGCUGUGACCAGGCCACAGUACUCACACUGCACUGACUUCAAGGAAGGGCAGCACCCAAGGACAAGUCAGGAACCAGCAAAGUGCACAGGAGACGUCACAGAAAGGAAGAACACAGCCAGAACUUUCCACUUCCUGAUGCAGCAUGUUAAUUAAAAUCGAGUACAAAUAAA
Heterocephalus glaber (naked mole-rat) is the source of this 760-nucleotide non-coding RNA. NCBI's taxonomy places the organism in Eukaryota, Metazoa, Chordata, Mammalia, Rodentia, Bathyergidae. The record is from RefSeq and is a predicted model, not a curated record.